This 1072-nucleotide ribosomal RNA is filed under the name Porphyromonas gingivalis. Its description in RNAcentral is "bacterial SSU rRNA". It matches the Rfam family "Bacterial small subunit ribosomal RNA", at positions 28 to 1091 of the family's 1533-position model. Lineage: Bacteria; Pseudomonadati; Bacteroidota; Bacteroidia; Bacteroidales; Porphyromonadaceae. The record is from RNAcentral.
GAUGAACGCUAGCGAUAGGCUUAACACAUGCAAGUCGAGGGGCAGCAUGAUCUUAGCUUGCUAAGGUUGAUGGCGACCGGCGCACGGGUGCGUAACGCGUAUGCAACUUGCCUUACAGAGGGGGAUAACCCGUUGAAAGACGGACUAAAACCGCAUACACUUGUAUUAUUGCAUGAUAUUACAAGGAAAUAUUUAUAGCUGUAAGAUAGGCAUGCGUCCCAUUAGCUUGUUGGUGAGGUAACGGCUCACCAAGGCAACGAUGGGUAGGGGAACUGAGAGGUUUAUCCCCCACACUGGUACUGAGACACGGACCAGACUCCUACGGGAGGCAGCAGUGAGGAAUAUUGGUCAAUGGGCGAGAGCCUGAACCAGCCAAGUCGCGUGAAGGAAGACUGUCCUAAGGAUUGUAAACUUCUUUUAUACGGGAAUAACGGGCGAUACGAGUAUUGCAUUGAAUGUACCGUAAGAAUAAGCAUCGGCUAACUCCGUGCCAGCAGCCGCGGUAAUACGGAGGAUGCGAGCGUUAUCCGGAUUUAUUGGGUUUAAAGGGUGCGUAGGUUGUUCGGUAAGUCAGCGGUGAAACCUGAGCGCUCAACGUUCAGCCUGCCGUUGAAACUGCCGGGCUUGAGUUCAGUGGCGGCAGGCGGAAUUCGUGGUGUAGCGGUGAAAUGCAUAGAUAUCACGAGGAACUCCGAUCGCGAAGGCAGCUUGCCAUACUGCGACUGACACUGAAGCACGAAGGCGUGGGUAUCAAACAGGAUUAGAUACCCUGGUAGUCCACGCAGUAAACGAUGAUUACUAGGAGUUUGCGAUAUACCGUCAAGCUUCCACAGCGAAAGCGUUAAGUAAUCCACCUGGGGAGUACGCCGGCAACGGUGAAACUCAAAGGAAUUGACGGGGGCCCGCACAAGCGGAGGAACAUGUGGUUUAAUUCGAUGAUACGCGAGGAACCUUACCCGGGAUUGAAAUGUAGAUGACGGAUGGUGAAAACCGUCUUCCCUUCGGGGCUUCUAUGUAGGUGCUGCAUGGUUGUCGUCAGCUCGUGCCGUGAGGUGUCGGCUUAAGUGCCAUA